UUGAAUUUUCGUGUAUAGAAAAACUUUUGCUCCACUUCUUAGUUGAUUGAGGAAUAUUGGAUGCAUAACAACAUUUAUUCGUUUGUCUUAAAUUGUUUAAAUAGUUCGACUUCUACUCUGUUUUUUUUGGACUAGAUCUCACUGUAAUUAGAAGUUCUGUUAAUCCUAAUAUUUCUCUAUGCUAUUCGUUACAAACAGAGGACAAUGAAAUCAAAUUUAUAUAUUACGCUGUUUGCUACGCUAGGAUGGAGAUGAGGCUGACCUUCUCGGGAAGACCGGCGCUAACUAGAGCAACGUUGGCAUGUGCCGGCACCUCCACCGUAGUUCGACAAACGUCUCUGGACCUGGUCGCCUCCCAGUCUUUUCCUCGGGUCAGCAUGAUUCCUUGCCCUCGCCAAAAACUCGUAUGGUUUUGUUCAUUUGUUUUAUAGGCCACAGAUUGUCGUGAGUUCGCCUGAAGGAUUAUCUGGCCAUGUCUAUGGGAGGCCCAAGAGGCGAGGGUGAUGACAAGGCCAUAUUUAUGUUCUGGAUAGGGGUCACAACCAUUGCCGGGGGAAAGUCAACGAGAAGUGGAGACAUGCAUGAUCCAAGUGAUGAUGCAUGAAUGUUUACUAACGCUGAAAUUUGCUAUAGCAACAGUAGAUUG
Lolium perenne is the source of this 646-nucleotide non-coding RNA. NCBI's taxonomy places the organism in Eukaryota, Viridiplantae, Streptophyta, Magnoliopsida, Poales, Poaceae. The record is from RefSeq and is a predicted model, not a curated record.